This 2786-nucleotide ribosomal RNA is filed under the name Escherichia coli. Its description in RNAcentral is "bacterial LSU rRNA". It matches the Rfam family "Bacterial large subunit ribosomal RNA". The record is from RNAcentral. RNAcentral also lists the same sequence under 1 other name. Lineage: Bacteria; Pseudomonadati; Pseudomonadota; Gammaproteobacteria; Enterobacterales; Enterobacteriaceae.
AGCGUACACGGUGGAUGCCCUGGCAGUCAGAGGCGAUGAAGGACGUGCUAAUCUGCGAUAAGCGUCGGUAAGGUGAUAUGAACCGUUAUAACCGGCGAUUUCCGAAUGGGGAAACCCAGUGUGAUUCGUCACACUAUCAUUAACUGAAUCCAUAGGUUAAUGAGGCGAACCGGGGGAACUGAAACAUCUAAGUACCCCGAGGAAAAGAAAUCAACCGAGAUUCCCCCAGUAGCGGCGAGCGAACGGGGAGCAGCCCAGAGCCUGAAUCAGUGUGUGUGUUAGUGGAAGCGUCUGGAAAGGCGUGCGAUACAGGGUGACAGCCCCGUACACAAAAAUGCACAUGCUGUGAGCUCGAUGAGUAGGGCGGGACACGUGGUAUCCUGUCUGAAUAUGGGGGGACCAUCCUCCAAGGCUAAAUACUCCUGACUGACCGAUAGUGAACCAGUACCGUGAGGGAAAGGCGAAAAGAACCCCGGCGAGGGGAGUGAAAAAGAACCUGAAACCGUGUACGUACAAGCAGUGGGAGCACGCUUAGGCGUGUGACUGCGUACCUUUUGUAUAAUGGGUCAGCGACUUAUAUUCUGUAGCAAGGUUAACCGAAUAGGGGAGCCGAAGGGAAACCGAGUCUUAACUGGGCGUUAAGUUGCAGGGUAUAGACCCGAAACCCGGUGAUCUAGCCAUGGGCAGGUUGAAGGUUGGGUAACACUAACUGGAGGACCGAACCGACUAAUGUUGAAAAAUUAGCGGAUGACUUGUGGCUGGGGGUGAAAGGCCAAUCAAACCGGGAGAUAGCUGGUUCUCCCCGAAAGCUAUUUAGGUAGCGCCUCGUGAAUUCAUCUCCGGGGGUAGAGCACUGUUUCGGCAAGGGGGUCAUCCCGACUUACCAACCCGAUGCAAACUGCGAAUACCGGAGAAUGUUAUCACGGGAGACACACGGCGGGUGCUAACGUCCGUCGUGAAGAGGGAAACAACCCAGACCGCCAGCUAAGGUCCCAAAGUCAUGGUUAAGUGGGAAACGAUGUGGGAAGGCCCAGACAGCCAGGAUGUUGGCUUAGAAGCAGCCAUCAUUUAAAGAAAGCGUAAUAGCUCACUGGUCGAGUCGGCCUGCGCGGAAGAUGUAACGGGGCUAAACCAUGCACCGAAGCUGCGGCAGCGACACUGUGUGUUGUUGGGUAGGGGAGCGUUCUGUAAGCCUGCGAAGGUGUGCUGUGAGGCAUGCUGGAGGUAUCAGAAGUGCGAAUGCUGACAUAAGUAACGAUAAAGCGGGUGAAAAGCCCGCUCGCCGGAAGACCAAGGGUUCCUGUCCAACGUUAAUCGGGGCAGGGUGAGUCGACCCCUAAGGCGAGGCCGAAAGGCGUAGUCGAUGGGAAACAGGUUAAUAUUCCUGUACUUGGUGUUACUGCGAAGGGGGGACGGAGAAGGCUAUGUUGGCCGGGCGACGGUUGUCCCGGUUUAAGCGUGUAGGCUGGUUUUCCAGGCAAAUCCGGAAAAUCAAGGCUGAGGCGUGAUGACGAGGCACUACGGUGCUGAAGCAACAAAUGCCCUGCUUCCAGGAAAAGCCUCUAAGCAUCAGGUAACAUCAAAUCGUACCCCAAACCGACACAGGUGGUCAGGUAGAGAAUACCAAGGCGCUUGAGAGAACUCGGGUGAAGGAACUAGGCAAAAUGGUGCCGUAACUUCGGGAGAAGGCACGCUGAUAUGUAGGUGAAGUCCCUCGCGGAUGGAGCUGAAAUCAGUCGAAGAUACCAGCUGGCUGCAACUGUUUAUUAAAAACACAGCACUGUGCAAACACGAAAGUGGACGUAUACGGUGUGACGCCUGCCCGGUGCCGGAAGGUUAAUUGAUGGGGUCAGCGCAAGCGAAGCUCUUGAUCGAAGCCCCGGUAAACGGCGGCCGUAACUAUAACGGUCCUAAGGUAGCGAAAUUCCUUGUCGGGUAAGUUCCGACCUGCACGAAUGGCGUAAUGAUGGCCAGGCUGUCUCCACCCGAGACUCAGUGAAAUUGAACUCGCUGUGAAGAUGCAGUGUACCCGCGGCAAGACGGAAAGACCCCGUGAACCUUUACUAUAGCUUGACACUGAACAUUGAGCCUUGAUGUGUAGGAUAGGUGGGAGGCUUUGAAGUGUGGACGCCAGUCUGCAUGGAGCCGGCCUUGAAAUACCACCCUUUAAUGUUUGAUGUUCUAACGUUGACCCGUGAUCCGGGUUGCGGACAGUGUCUGGUGGGUAGUUUGACUGGGGCGGUCUCCUCCUAAAGAGUAACGGAGGAGCACGAAGGUUGGCUAAUCCUGGUCGGACAUCAGGAGGUUAGUGCAAUGGCAUAAGCCAGCUUGACUGCGAGCGUGACGGCGCGAGCAGGUGCGAAAGCAGGUCAUAGUGAUCCGGUGGUUCUGAAUGGAAGGGCCAUCGCUCAACGGAUAAAAGGUACUCCGGGGAUAACAGGCUGAUACCGCCCAAGAGUUCAUAUCGACGGCGGUGUUUGGCACCUCGAUGUCGGCUCAUCACAUCCUGGGGCUGAAGUAGGUCCCAAGGGUAUGGCUGUUCGCCAUUUAAAGUGGUACGCGAGCUGGGUUUAGAACGUCGUGAGACAGUUCGGUCCCUAUCUGCCGUGGGCGCUGGAGAACUGAGGGGGGCUGCUCCUAGUACGAGAGGACCGGAGUGGACGCAUCACUGGUGUUCGGGUUGUCAUGCCAAUGGCACUGCCCGGUAGCUAAAUGCGGAAGAGAUAAGUGCUGAAAGCAUCUAAGCACGAAACUUGCCCCGAGAUGAGUUCUCCCUGACUCCUUGA